GAUGAACGCUAGCGACAGGCUAACACAUGCAAGUCGAGGGGCAGCACAUGAGUAGCAAUACGAUGGUGGCGACCGGCGCACGGGUGAGUAACACGUAUGCAACCUGCCUUCUACUAUGGGAUAACCCGUUGAAAGACGGACUAAUACCGUAUAAUACAGGGGCUCCGCAUGGAGAUAUUUGUUAAAGAUUUAUUGGUAGAAGAUGGGCAUGCGUAUGAUUAGAUAGUUGGUGAGGUAACGGCUCACCAAGUCAACGAUCAUUAGGGGUUCUGAGAGGAAGGUCCCCCACACUGGUACUGAGACACGGACCAGACUCCUACGGGAGGCAGCAGUGAGGAAUAUUGGUCAAUGGACGAGAGUCUGAACCAGCCAAGUCGCGUGAAGGAAGACGGUUCUAUGAAUUGUAAACUUCUUUUGUGCAGGAAUAAAGUGGGUUACGUGUAACCUUUUGUAUGUACUGUACGAAUAAGGAUCGGCUAACUCCGUG
This 487-nucleotide ribosomal RNA is filed under the name uncultured bacterium. Its description in RNAcentral is "bacterial SSU rRNA". It matches the Rfam family "Bacterial small subunit ribosomal RNA", at positions 28 to 507 of the family's 1533-position model. The record is from RNAcentral.